RNAcentral lists this ribosomal RNA (253 nucleotides) under uncultured bacterium. RNAcentral describes it as "partial 16S ribosomal RNA". It matches the Rfam family "Bacterial small subunit ribosomal RNA", at positions 524 to 776 of the family's 1533-position model. The record is from RNAcentral. RNAcentral also lists the same sequence under 1 other name.
UACGUAGGUGGCAAGCGUUGUCCGGAUUUACUGGGUGUAAAGGGCGUGUAGCCGGGAAGGCAAGUCAGAUGUGAAAUCUGGAGGCUCAACCUCCAAACUGCAUUUGAAACUGCUUUUCUUGAGUAUCGGAGAGGUAAUCGGAAUUCCUUGUGUAGCGGUGAAAUGCGUAGAUAUAAGGAAGAACACCAGUGGCGAAGGCGGAUUACUGGACGACAACUGACGGUGAGGCGCGAAAGCGUGGGGAGCAAACAGG